GCCUGCAGCCAUAUCACCCUGCAACUCACAGCUGGCAACCAGCUGAAGCUAAGCUGGUGUGAGCCUGGUCAGUACCUCUGUGGGAGACCUCCAGGGAAAAACUUUGGUUGCUGCUGGAA
RNAcentral lists this ribosomal RNA (119 nucleotides) under Lepisosteus oculatus (spotted gar). Lineage: Eukaryota; Metazoa; Chordata; Actinopteri; Semionotiformes; Lepisosteidae. The record is from RNAcentral.